Molecule: ribosomal RNA, 484 nt
Filed under: uncultured bacterium
Lineage: Bacteria
Description: partial 16S ribosomal RNA
Rfam family: Bacterial small subunit ribosomal RNA
Source: RNAcentral
GACGAACGCUGGCGGCGUGCUUAACACAUGCAAGUCGAACGAUGAGCCCGGAGCUUGCUCCGGCGGAUUAGUGGCGAACGGGUGAGUAACACGUGAGUAACCUGCCCUUGACUCUGGGAUAACUGCUAGAAAUGGUAGCUAAUACCGGAUACGACCCUCGGUGGCAUCACCAGGGGGUGGAAGGAAUUUCGGUCAAGGAUGGACUCGCGGCCUAUCAGCUAGUUGGUGAGGUAACGGCUCACCAAGGCGACGACGGGUAGCCGGCCUGAGAGGGGAACCGGCCACACUGGGACUGAGACACGGCCCAGACUCCUACGGGAGGCAGCAGUGGGGAAUAUUGCACAAUGGGCGCAAGCCUGAUGCAGCAACGCCGCGUGAGGGAUGACGGCCUUCGGGUUGUAAACCUCUUUUAGUAGGGAAGAAGCGAAAGUGACGGUACCUGCAGAAAAAGCACCGGCUAACUACGUGCCAGCAGCCGCCGUAA